AAAGGAAGGCCUGGGUAUACUACUGGAUAUCUCUUGUCCAUAUUACAUUUGGCUUAAACCUGAACACUUGUUGCAGCUAAUGGAAGGCUCACUGCAUAAUACUCAGGCUUGACACAUGCCAGCAGCAUAUGCCAUCCUACCAUAUGGAAGGUCCAAGUUUUUCCACAAAGCAUUUACCUUUCCUGCUGCUCUAACAUAUAACAUGGAAAAGGAAAGGAAAACCAUCAAAAAUACAUUCACGGCUAAUUAAUCUCAGUGAGAAACAUGGGGUAUAAAAAAGCUGAGUUUCCAAGAGGAUUGUCCUAACUCUGAAGUGAUGUGCUAUAAAACCUAUUUCCAUUACAUUAAUAUACUCUGGAGCAAGAGCCAGGUGGCUUUUUACGUGCCUUAGGAAACCUGCUUGUUCUAACAGAGUGGAGUGCCCCUUCCCAGCACAGCAUGGGGGAGAGCAAAAUAAAUAGCUCCAGCGCCAAACUGCCAGGCCACCACUACAGUGUCAGCAGACAGAGAAAGUAGAUAAUUUUGUAAAAUUCAGAGGGACCAAAUUGCUCUGGGGGGGGCUGAUUCAGCACCACUGAAUGGGGAACAGUGUUGUCCUAUUGGCUUAAAACCAGUGUAAGCGUGCAAAGAGUCAGAUACCAACUCACGCUCAUCAAAACUGAAUACAUAGGCAUUUCAGAACAUCUUUAGCACCCUUAUAUACAGACAAUAUAGCUGCCUGCUUUUUCUUCACAUGACCAAAGUCCAACAAAAUCUUCACAUCUUCCCAUUGACUCUGUGAACUUUAGAUCAUACCCCUGAAGCACAGAGAAGUGCCUGAAUAAUAACAGAGAGCCAAGCACAUCAAAAACUAUCUUUCAAAUGGGGGACAGCCAGAGUGAGAUUGCACCAGCUGUCAGCUUAAGUCCUACCAAAGGCACCUUGAAAAAGCUCCAUCAACACUUCCAUGCUACUGAGAGGAAGUUUUGAAAAAAGACCUGAGGAUGGACUAUUGGAUCUCCAGAUGACACUGUAUGAUGUGCCUGCAGAGAACAAGAAUGUAGUCCUCAAGUGUAUCAGUGGGGAAUUUCACCAGAAGGACAGAGUACAGAAGAUCCAUUCCUACCUCCUGCUCCAGCCUUCCUGCUCCCUCCAGACAGUACAUUCCAUGGAGACUCUGGAACAAACUUCCCCAUUCAGGAGACUGCUGGUUGCUUAUGUGAAGCCCCAUCAUCACCAAGCAAAGACAGAUAGAUACUGCUAACACCAUCUUUCUGAACUGAUGUUUUUGGAGGGCUUUAAUACUAAAAAUUGAUCCUCUUGCAAAGGAGUGUAUGAAAUAAAAUAUUGACUGUAUGUGAUAAAAAAUAAAUAAAAAGGAACAUUUUUCCUCCUAAAAAUUGCAGUUUCCUAUUUUAAAGGAUGCAAUUUCUUUUCCUUAUGGAAAAGAACACUAAAUGCAUUGUAUUUUUGCCAAGCUUUAUGGGACUAAACAGAUUUAUGAAACACUCCUGAUUGACUUGGGGUGUGAAAAUGGCUUAUAUAAUUCUAAUAAUCUGACCUUUCUGCUUUUCCCUUUGCCUUCUCCUUUGCCAUCACUCAUGCUUCAGGAACACACAGGGCUAUGGAGGGUGGGUUUUCUCUGUCUUUUCUACACAAGAAAAGUCUUUUUUUCUUAUUCUUCCAUCAUCUUCCUACACAGGGUCACAGCAGAGGAAGGCUCAAGGUCUGCAGCAGUCUAUUUGGCUCACUCUUAAUGAGAAAAAUAUCUGGGGAUCAUCUUUCUGAGUUCA
Non-coding RNA from Coturnix japonica (Japanese quail), 1772 nucleotides. The record is from RefSeq and is a predicted model, not a curated record. NCBI's taxonomy places the organism in Eukaryota, Metazoa, Chordata, Aves, Galliformes, Phasianidae.